GGGGGUGAAAGGUUUUCGACUUCGGUAGCCAAAGUUUGAGAAGCGAGCCGUGGGUUCCGGAACCACGUUAAACAGCCGGAACACAAAACAAAUGCCGAGCAUCAGCUCGCACUCGCUGCUUAGCAAUCGCUAAGUAGCGGCGUCCUCCCGGUCUAAGCCCCACGGGCCGGAAUCGGGCGUCAUCUGUUGGGGCUUGCCCGACCAGCACGCCAACCGGCCGGCGGGGACACAAAGGAUGGCUGGGGAACACCGGUUGCGUCGGCGACGCCGGUGUUCCCGAGACUUAUACGCCGACUGCGCUCGGAGAAUGCAAGCUGCGGAGCUGAGGGACGCGGGUUCGAUUCCCGCCACCUCCACCU
Molecule: transfer-messenger RNA, 359 nt
Filed under: Acidimicrobiales
Lineage: Bacteria; Bacillati; Actinomycetota; Acidimicrobiia
Also listed under: 1 other name
Description: JAJZXF01 sp021802485 Standard tmRNA
Rfam family: transfer-messenger RNA
About the family: Bacterial tmRNA, also known as 10Sa RNA or SsrA, is named for its dual tRNA and mRNA-like properties. Its role is to liberate the mRNA from a stalled ribosome.
Source: RNAcentral